AUUGAACGCUGGCGGCAGGCCUAACACAUGCAAGUCGAGCGGAUGAAGGGAGCUUUCUCCUGGAUUCAGCGGCGGACGGGUGAGUAAUGCCUAGGAAUCUGCCUGGUAGUGGGGGAUAACGUCCGUAAACGGGCGCUAAUACCGCAUACGUCCUGAUGUAGAAAGUGGGGGAUCUUCGGACCUCACGCUAUCAGAUGAGCCUAGGUCGGAUUAGCUAGUUGGUGGGGUAAAGGCCUACCAAGGCGACGAUCCGUAACUGGUCUGAGAGGAUGAUCAGUCACACUGGAACUGAGACACGGUCCAGACUCCUACGGGAGGCAGCAGUGGGGAAUAUUGGACAAUGGGCGAAAGCCUGAUCCAGCCAUGCCGCGUGUGUGAAGAAGGUCUUCGGAUUGUAAAGCACUUUAAGUUGGGAGGAAGGGCAGUAAGUUAAUACCUUGCUGUUUUGACGUUACCAACAGAAUAAGCACCGGCUAACUUCGUG
This 484-nucleotide ribosomal RNA is filed under the name uncultured bacterium. Its description in RNAcentral is "partial 16S ribosomal RNA". It matches the Rfam family "Bacterial small subunit ribosomal RNA", at positions 30 to 507 of the family's 1533-position model. The record is from RNAcentral.